RNAcentral lists this ribosomal RNA (114 nucleotides) under uncultured bacterium. RNAcentral describes it as "partial 16S ribosomal RNA". The record is from RNAcentral.
AGCCGCGGGGGGGAAGAAAGCCCUUGGGAUGUAAACACCUUUAGAACGGGACGAUGCUGACGGAACCGGAUGGAAAAAACCCCGGCUAACUUUGUGCCAAGCAGCCGCGGUAAU